This 483-nucleotide ribosomal RNA is filed under the name uncultured bacterium. RNAcentral describes it as "partial 16S ribosomal RNA". It matches the Rfam family "Bacterial small subunit ribosomal RNA", at positions 28 to 507 of the family's 1533-position model. The record is from RNAcentral.
GAUGAACGCUGGCGGCGUGCCUAACACAUGCAAGUCGAACGGAGUCGUUUUGGAAAUCUCUUCGGAGAUGGAAUUCUCGACUUAGUGGCGGACGGGUGAGUAACGCGUGAGCAAUCUGCCUUUAAGAGGGGGAUAACAGUCGGAAACGGCUGCUAAUACCGCAUAAAGCAUUAAAUUCGCAUGUUUUUGAUGCCAAAGGAGCAAUCCGCUUUUAGAUGAGCUCGCGUCUGAUUAGCUAGUUGGCGGGGUAACGGCCCACCAAGGCGACGAUCAGUAGCCGGACUGAGAGGUUGAACGGCCACAUUGGGACUGAGACACGGCCCAGACUCCUACGGGAGGCAGCAGUGGGGAAUAUUGCGCAAUGGGGGAAACCCUGACGCAGCAACGCCGCGUGAUUGAAGAAGGCCUUCGGGUUGUAAAGAUCUUUAAUCAGGGACGAAACAAAUGACGGUACCUGAAGAAUAAGCUCCGGCCAACUACGUG